RNAcentral lists this ribosomal RNA (506 nucleotides) under uncultured bacterium. RNAcentral describes it as "partial 16S ribosomal RNA". It matches the Rfam family "Bacterial small subunit ribosomal RNA", at positions 29 to 523 of the family's 1533-position model. The record is from RNAcentral.
AUUGAACGCUGGCGGCAGGCCUAACACAUGCAAGUCGGACGGUAGCACAGAGGAGCUUGCUCCUCGGGUGACGAGUGGCGAACGGGUGAGUAAUGUCUGGGGAUCUGCCCGAUAGAGGGGGAUAACCACUGGAAACGGUGGCUAAUACCGCAUAACGUCGCAAGACCAAAGAGGGGGACCUUCGGGCCUCACACCAUCGGAUGUGCCCAGAUGGGAUUAGCUAGUAGGUGGGGUAAUGGCUCACCUAGGCGACGAUCCCUAGCUGGUCUGAGAGGAUGACCAGCCACACUGGAACUGAGACACGGUCCAGACUCCUACGGGAGGCAGCAGUGGGGAAUAUUGCACAAUGGGCGCAAGCCUGAUGCAGCCAUGCCGCGUGUAUGAAGAAGGCCUUCGGGUUGUAAAGUACUUUCAGCGGGGAGGAAGGCGGUGAAGUUAAUAGCUUAACCGAUUGACGUUACCCGCAGAAGAAGCACCGGCUAACUCCGUGCCAGCAGCCGCGGUAA